Molecule: long non-coding RNA, 1092 nt
Organism: Juglans microcarpa x Juglans regia
Lineage: Eukaryota; Viridiplantae; Streptophyta; Magnoliopsida; Fagales; Juglandaceae
Exons: 2
Source: RefSeq, a predicted model, not a curated record
CUUCGCUUCCUUUUCAUGCUCGGUAUAUAUCAAGUACUUUUGCUACUUAUAAGUCAGUAAUUAAACACAUAUAACCAGUUAAUGUGACAGAUUACUACAUCAAUAAUGUAUUUAGUGUGUUUAGCGACUAUAACGGUUAGAUUGAUUGGAUUAUGAUCAAAGAGCUAGCAUAUCCUCCAAAAAUAUAUAUAUUUUUUAUGAAUAUAUGUCGUUGCAUUUAUACAGAAUCAAUAUUCAUUUACCAACUGAACCCUUACAGUAUUAUUGGUACCAAUAGCAGAAGAUAUAAUGAAGAGAAGCAAAUGUGUGCUAUGUUGUCAUGCAGUGUGGGUGGAGAAGCAGGCAAGUAGGGCCAAGGAAGUUCAAUUUCAACAUUCAACCGACAUUGAAGUGUUAAUUGGCAGAGAUAUUCUGGUGCUCUCUUAAAGCUUGCGUCGAUAUGGGUAGAAAGUGAAAAGUUGUCGUUAGCUGUUCAGGAGCAGCGGCGAUGAAAUUUGUUUUAUUCUUCUCGUUUGAUUGGUUGGAAGGCGUACGAGUUUUUGACAUUCGAAUGCUUGAUGUAAUUCUCGUAGGCACUUUCUUUUGUCUUACCACACCCAUUAGACCUACUCGCACAAUGGUAGUGACAGUGGCGCCAGGGCCCAGAAUGGUGGUAAAUAGGGCAGGAAACAUGAUAAUGGCAUGUAGCAAAUGGAUGGUUUUUCAUGUGAAACUAUGACAACUUUUGCAUUUAACAGGUCUCGCAGAGCAGUAGAAGCAUAUUAUAUGGGCAUGUCAUGAAGUAGCAUUCCUCGUUAUCCGUUGCUUUCCACUUCGUUGCAUUCAUUUACUGCCACCCAUAAGCAUAUUUCGUGGGCUUGUUUAACUAAUCAAAUUGUUUAACCCUGAUUGAGCAUCAUUACGCCUUUUUUGGCAAUGCGCGCGCGCGCGCGCACACAUAUAUAGACCUUAAGUAAGCAUGGAAGGACACUAAUAGCAUUUCUCAAUCAAGUCUGUAUUUCCCAUUUCAAGUUUUAACAGUUAUUACUUCAAAAAAAAAAAGUUUUAACAGUUAGAGAAAUCCAUUAAAUGAUGAGAAAGCAAAAGGAAGGC